Small nucleolar RNA from Phodopus roborovskii (desert hamster), 123 nucleotides. RefSeq annotates it as small nucleolar RNA SNORA40. The transcript has a single exon. NCBI's taxonomy places the organism in Eukaryota, Metazoa, Chordata, Mammalia, Rodentia, Cricetidae. The record is from RefSeq and is a predicted model, not a curated record.
AUAACCCUUGUGUGUGUUUGUUCAACUGGUGGACAAAGGCAAGGGACAUAGUUGCAAAGAUAAGUCUUCCAUAACCUCCAACUCAUUAUUCAGUAUGAGUUUUUGUACAUAUAAGAGAAUAUG